Molecule: ribosomal RNA, 274 nt
Filed under: uncultured bacterium
Lineage: Bacteria
Description: partial 16S ribosomal RNA
Rfam family: Bacterial small subunit ribosomal RNA
Source: RNAcentral
CUACGGAGGGUGCAAGCGUUAAUCGGAAUUACUGGGCGUAAAGGGUUCGUAGGCGGUUAUUUAAGUCAGAUGUGAAAGCCCCGGGCUCAACCCGGGAAUUGCAUCUGAUACUGGGUAACUAGAGUUUAAGAGAGGAGUGUGGAAUUUCUGGUGUAGCGGUGAAAUGCAUAGAGAUCGGAAGGAACAUCAGUGGCGAAGGCGGCACUCUGGCUUAAAACUGACGCUGAGGAACGAAAGCGUGGGUAGCAAACAGGAUUAGAAACCCUUGUAGUCC